Molecule: long non-coding RNA, 533 nt
Organism: Mus musculus (house mouse)
Lineage: Eukaryota; Metazoa; Chordata; Mammalia; Rodentia; Muridae
Product: predicted gene, 35929
Exons: 3
Source: RefSeq, a predicted model, not a curated record
UUUAAAAACACACCAAUCACAACUCGUUUCAGCAUUUUAAGAAUGGAUCUGGAAGCUAGCACAGGUCCUAAAUCCCUAGCUAGCCUAAGACUUAGCUAGGAACGAUUCAAAUGGAUUCCUUUCGCUUUAAGGAUUUUCAGAGACCAGAGAGCUUUGCUGUGCUGACUUUGAACUCCCAGGCUCAACUGACCCUUGUGCUUCAGCCUCCCACACAGCUGGAGAGUAUCUACCAUGUCGAGCUGAUAUCUUUGUACUUUCUCAUUUCAAGAUUCUCACUGAGCGGCCUUUUUGUGUGCCUACUGAAGCCUUGUCUAUCUCUGCCAAGGAUGGAAAGUUGCACGAUCCCCCUUGACCUUGAAGAUCAACGGGUGAAUGUGCAAUCCCAACAGGACCUUGCCUUCUAGCAUCUUCCAUGGCUCUCAUUGAUACCCUUAUCCUAGGUAUCUGCAAGCCAGCCUCUCAAUUAGAAGCCAUGCUGAGGUGAGGCCUGGUCUGCUGGUGCACAGCUUUAAUGGUAACGAUCAGGAAACAGA